This 214-nucleotide long non-coding RNA is filed under the name Lathyrus oleraceus (garden pea). RNAcentral describes it as "Pisum sativum (pea) long non-coding RNA (PSAT_LNC023691)". The record is from RNAcentral. Lineage: Eukaryota; Viridiplantae; Streptophyta; Magnoliopsida; Fabales; Fabaceae.
AGAACUCAUCGUUUCUUCAUCUCCGCCUUUUAUUUUUCAAGUUGUCAUGCAUCAAGUGAAGAAACACGGCUCCGCUUCGUCGAUUCGUGACUCAGCAUCAUCAUCAAUACUUAGACCGAUUCCCUUGUACGCGUGCGAAAACGGAGAAAAACGGAAUUAACAUCAAGAGACUCACCAGAUUUGAAGCUUUGAUUUCCAACAGGUAUGAAUUCUG